UGGGUAACUUGUGAAACUUCAUCGUGAUGGGGAUAGAGCAUUGCAAUUAUUGCUCUUCAACGAGGAAUCCCUAGUAAGCGUGAGUCAUCAGCUCACGUUGAUUACGUCCCUGCCCUUUGUACACACCGCCCGUCGCUACUACCGAUUGAAUGGCUUAGUGAGACCCUCGGAUCGACUCAUGGAAACCUUCACGGGUAUCUAUUUGUUGAAAAGUUGGUCAAACUUGGUCAUUUAGAGGAAGUAAAAGUCGUAACAAGGUAGCCGUAGGUGAACCUGCGGAAGGAUCAUU
This 289-nucleotide ribosomal RNA is filed under the name Cetraspora gilmorei. Its description in RNAcentral is "partial 18S ribosomal RNA". It matches the Rfam family "Eukaryotic small subunit ribosomal RNA", at positions 1543 to 1830 of the family's 1831-position model. Lineage: Eukaryota; Fungi; Glomeromycota; Glomeromycetes; Diversisporales; Gigasporaceae. The record is from RNAcentral.